AGCCAAUAAAAAAUUUCCGUAACUUAAUUGCUAAUAUACUCCUCAAUAAAUUGGCUGGCUUCGCAUGUAAUACACUAAACAAUUAAAUGAAUAAUAUAGAGCAGAAUCAGAUACAAAUUGUAAAAAACUCACAGCAAACGUGAUGAAAGAGCAAGAAUGCUUUCCACGAUCCCACCUGCACCCAGCAACAUCAGAUAAUUUCUCUUCCAGAAGGCCUCUUUGUACCACAAAAAACUGUCCUUAACCGCCACUGCUGGAUUUGCCGCAUCUUUUACUAAAUUCUUGGAACCCACUGCAUUCUUUAAAGAAAAGUAUCUGAACCCAAUAAAAUUUCUGUUCGGCGAAAAUUCCGCAUUUGGGUACAGUUUGUCGAAAAUUCUUGCAACAUUGGGCGAUGAUGAGAAAUGGGUUCUCGAAGAAAUUAAUAGCCAAGUACGAAACGUGAGAAUUUGGACGAUGUUUAGGUUAUUUGGCGAGGAUUUCAAUGCAGUGAGCUGGAAAUAUCUGAAAAUUAUUCUUGAUGACGAGGGUUCUGACAUUUUCUUCUUUCCUUUUGGUUUUAUUUCUCGUGUAGAUGGAUAUAGAUUUAGAUUCACGAAAUCACAAACUCGAAGUACAAUUGAUUGCCUCGUUUGAAGAAAAUCAAUCAACCCAUUUCCUCAAGAUGCCUACGUGACUCCUAUAUAGAGGUGCAAGCGAGUUGGGUGACUCGCUG
RNAcentral lists this long non-coding RNA (715 nucleotides) under Olea europaea subsp. europaea. Lineage: Eukaryota; Viridiplantae; Streptophyta; Magnoliopsida; Lamiales; Oleaceae. The record is from RNAcentral.